GCACUCAUUUCAGCAGCACAUAUACUAAACCUGGAAUGAUACAGAGAUUAGCAUGCCCCCUGCACAAGGAUGACAUGCAGGUUUGUGGAGUGCCUGUAUUUUUU
This is a small nuclear RNA of Leopardus geoffroyi (Geoffroy's cat), 104 nucleotides long. NCBI's taxonomy places the organism in Eukaryota, Metazoa, Chordata, Mammalia, Carnivora, Felidae. The record is from RefSeq and is a predicted model, not a curated record.